RNAcentral lists this ribosomal RNA (313 nucleotides) under uncultured bacterium. Its description in RNAcentral is "bacterial SSU rRNA". It matches the Rfam family "Bacterial small subunit ribosomal RNA", at positions 28 to 339 of the family's 1533-position model. The record is from RNAcentral.
GACGAACGUUGGCGGCGUGCCUAAUACAUGCAAGUCAACUGAAAUACCGGUAGCAAUACUGGUAUGGAGGUGGCGCACGGGUGAGUAACACGUAGGUAAUCUGCCUUCAGGUCUGACAUAACCCAUCGAAAGGUGAGCUAAUAUCAGAUGAUGCAGCGGCUUGACAUCAAGACAGUUGUUAAAGCUUCGGCGCCUGAAGAUGAGCCUGCGUCUGAUUAGCUAGUUGGCGGGGUAACGGCCACCAAGGCUGCGAUCAGUAGCUGGUCUGAGAGGAUGAUCAGUCACACUGGAACUGAGACACGGUCCAGACUCC